GUCGAACGGUAACAGGCCGCAAGGUGCUGACGAGUGGCGAACGGGUGAGUAAUGCAUCGGAACGUGCCCAGUCGUGGGGGAUAACGCAGCGAAAGCUGUGCUAAUACCGCAUACGAUCUAUGGAUGAAAGCGGGGGACCGUAAGGCCUCGCGCGAUUGGAGCGGCCGAUGUCAGAUUAGCUAGUUGGUGGGGUAAAGGCCCACCAAGGCGACGAUCUGUAGCUGGUCUGAGAGGACGACCAGCCACACUGGGACUGAGACACGGCCCAGACUCCUACGGGAGGCAGCAGUGGGGAAUUUUGGACAAUGGGCGCAAGCCUGAUCCAGCAAUGCCGCGUGCAGGAAGAAGGCCUUCGGGUUGUAAACUGCUUUUGUACGGAACGAAACGGUCCUGGUUAAUACCUGGGGCUAAUGACGGUACCGUAAGAAUAAGCACCGGCUAACUACGUGCCAGCAGCCGCGGUAAUACGUAGGGUGCAAGCGUUAAUCGGAAUUACUGGGCGUAAAGCGUGCGCAGGCGGUUUUGUAAGACAGGCGUGAAAUCCCCGGGCUCAACCUGGGAAUUGCGCUUGUGACUGCAAAGCUGGAGUGCGGCAGAGGGGGAUGGAAUUCCGCGUGUAGCAGUGAAAUGCGUAGAUAUGCGGAGGAACACCGAUGGCGAAGGCAAUCCCCUGGGCCUGCACUGACGCUCAUGCACGAAG
RNAcentral lists this ribosomal RNA (700 nucleotides) under uncultured bacterium. Its description in RNAcentral is "bacterial SSU rRNA". It matches the Rfam family "Bacterial small subunit ribosomal RNA", at positions 61 to 758 of the family's 1533-position model. The record is from RNAcentral.